GGGGUGUAGCUCAGCUGGUUAGAGCGCUGGCCUGUCACGCCAGAGGUCGCGGGUUCGAGUCCCGUCACUCC
RNAcentral lists this transfer RNA (71 nucleotides) under marine eukaryotic metagenome. It matches the Rfam family "tRNA". From Rfam's summary of the family: Transfer RNA (tRNA) molecules are approximately 80 nucleotides in length. Their secondary structure includes four short double-helical elements and three loops (D, anti-codon, and T loops). The record is from RNAcentral.